CGGCAGCUCUGCACCAACGUGCCCCGGGUUGGAAAAUGUGAUUUGUGACAGAGAAGCUUGGGAAUAAUAAUGAAAACAUAAUUGCUCCAGAAGAGGCAGAGGAUGUUGACACAAACUUACAGACUGGGACUCCAAGGAUCAGCCAGAUGAAAUGCUAUGUGCAGAGUCUUCAUUUCCCAGCUCAGUGGUGGACAGCAGAGGACUCUAAGGUGGGUUGCCCUGAUUGGAGUCCCCCUUCAGCCACUUUAAGU
RNAcentral lists this long non-coding RNA (251 nucleotides) under Homo sapiens (human). Its description in RNAcentral is "non-protein coding PCAT1:3". Lineage: Eukaryota; Metazoa; Chordata; Mammalia; Primates; Hominidae. The record is from RNAcentral.